This 369-nucleotide ribosomal RNA is filed under the name uncultured Lactobacillus sp. RNAcentral's name for it is "bacterial SSU rRNA". It matches the Rfam family "Bacterial small subunit ribosomal RNA", at positions 173 to 525 of the family's 1533-position model. Lineage: Bacteria; Bacillati; Bacillota; Bacilli; Lactobacillales; Lactobacillaceae. The record is from RNAcentral.
AACAGAUGAUGCCUAUCAACUGUUUAAAGAUGUUCUGCUAUCACUCUUGGGAUGGACCUGCGGUGCAUUAGCUAGUUGGUAGGGGUAACGGGCCUACCAAGGCGAUGAUGCAUAGCCCGAGUUGAGAGACUGAUCGGGCCACAUUGGGACCGAGACACGGGCCCAAACUCCUACGGGAGGCAGCAGUAGGGAAUCUUCCACAAUGGACGCAAGUCUGAUGGAGCAAACGCCGCGUGAGUGAAGAAGGGUUUCGGCUCGUAAAAAGCUCUGUUGUUGGUGAAGAAGGACAGGGGUAGUAACUGACCCUUUGUUUGACGGUAAUCAAUUAGAAAGUCACGGGCUAACUACGUGCCAGCAGCCGCGGUAAAU